UGCGUCGCUCCGGAAAAGUCGC
This 22-nucleotide unclassified non-coding RNA is filed under the name synthetic construct. RNAcentral describes it as "RNA (5'-R(*UP*GP*CP*GP*UP*CP*GP*CP*UP*CP*CP*GP*GP*AP*AP*AP*AP*GP*UP*CP*GP*C)-3') from synthetic construct (PDB 5XZ1, chain B)". The record is from RNAcentral.